GAUGAAGAACGUAGUGAAAUGCGAUAAUUAAUGUGAAUUGCAGAAUUCAGUGAAUCAUCGAGUCUUUGAACGCACAUUGCGCCCCCUGGUAUUCCGGGGGGCAUGCCUGUCCGAGCGUCAUUGCUGCCCUCAAGCACGGCUUGUGUGUUGGGCUUCCGUCCCUGGCAACGGGGACGGGCCCAAAAGGCAGUGGCGGCACCAUGUCUGGUCCUCGAGCGUAUGGGGCUUUGUCACCCGCUCCCGUAGGUCCAGCUGGCAGCUAGCCUCGCAACCAAUCUUUUUAACCAGGUUGACCUCGGAUCAGGUAGGGAUACCCGCUGAACUUAAGCAUAUCAAUAAGCGGAAGGA
This 348-nucleotide unclassified non-coding RNA is filed under the name soil metagenome. RNAcentral's name for it is "partial contains 5.8S ribosomal RNA, internal transcribed spacer 2, and large subunit ribosomal RNA". The stretch from base 1 to 120 matches the Rfam family "5.8S ribosomal RNA", at positions 35 to 154 of the family's 154-position model. The record is from RNAcentral.